CGCGGUACCCUAACCGUGCAAAGGUAGUAUAAUCACUUGUUCUUUAAAUAAGGACUUGUAUCAACGGCAUCACGAGGGUUCUACUGUCUCCUCUCUCCAAUCAGUGAAACUGAUCUCCCCAUGAAAAAGUGGGGAUAAACUUAUAAGACGAGAAGACCCCAUGGAGCUUUAAAACCUAUAGCAACCUAGCAAACACUUCCAUCUAGCUAUAAAAUAAUGCUCAAGGACUUUAGGUUGGGAGGACCACGGAGCACAAAAUAACCUCCGUAAUGAAAAGAAUAAGAUCUUUACCAAAGAGCCACAACUCUAAGAAUUAGAAAACUAACGUACAUGACCCGAUAUCGAUCAAUGAACUAAGUUACCCUGGGGAUAACAGCGCAAUCCACUCUGAGAGUUCAUAUCGACGAGCGGGCUUACGACCUCGAUGUUGGAUCAGGGUAUCCUGGUGGUGCAGCCGCUACCGAAGGUUCGUUUGUUCAAC
Molecule: ribosomal RNA, 481 nt
Filed under: Pseudophilautus wynaadensis
Lineage: Eukaryota; Metazoa; Chordata; Amphibia; Anura; Rhacophoridae
Description: partial 16S ribosomal RNA
Rfam family: Bacterial large subunit ribosomal RNA
Source: RNAcentral